RNAcentral lists this ribosomal RNA (253 nucleotides) under uncultured bacterium. Its description in RNAcentral is "partial 16S ribosomal RNA". It matches the Rfam family "Bacterial small subunit ribosomal RNA", at positions 524 to 776 of the family's 1533-position model. The record is from RNAcentral.
UACAGAGGGGGCAAGCGUUGUUCGGAAUUACUGGGCGUAAAGGGCGCGUAGGCGGCCUGCUAAGUCGAACGUGAAAUCCCUGGGCUUAACCCAGGAACUGCGUCCGAUACUGGCAGGCUUGAAUCCGGGAGAGGGAUGCGGAAUUCCAGGUGUAGCGGUGAAAUGCGUAGAUAUCUGGAGGAACACCGGUGGCGAAGGCGGCAUCCUGGACCGGUAUUGACGCUGAGGCGCGAAAGCCAGGGGAGCAAACGGG